RNAcentral lists this ribosomal RNA (1346 nucleotides) under uncultured bacterium. Its description in RNAcentral is "partial 16S ribosomal RNA". It matches the Rfam family "Bacterial small subunit ribosomal RNA", at positions 28 to 1381 of the family's 1533-position model. The record is from RNAcentral.
GACGAACGCUGGCGGCGUGCUUAACACAUGCAAGUCGAACGGAAAGGCCCUGCUUUUGUGGGGUGCUCGAGUGGCGAACGGGUGAGUAACACGUGAGUAACCUGCCCUUGACUUUGGGAUAACUUCAGGAAACUGGGGCUAAUACCGGAUAGGAGCUCCUGCUGCAUGGUGGGGGUUGGAAAGUUUCGGCGGUUGGGGAUGGACUCGCGGCUUAUCAGCUUGUUGGUGGGGUAGUGGCUUACCAAGGCUUUGACGGGUAGCCGGCCUGAGAGGGUGACCGGCCACAUUGGGACUGAGAUACGGCCCAGACUCCUACGGGAGGCAGCAGUGGGGAAUAUUGCACAAUGGGCGGAAGCCUGAUGCAGCAACGCCGCGUGCGGGAUGACGGCCUUCGGGUUGUAAACCGCUUUCGCCUGUGACGAAGCGUGAGUGACGGUAAUGGGUAAAGAAGCACCGGCUAACUACGUGCCAGCAGCCGCGGUGAUACGUAGGGUGCGAGCGUUGUCCGGAUUUAUUGGGCGUAAAGGGCUCGUAGGUGGUUGAUCGCGUCGGAAGUGUAAUCUUGGGGCUUAACCCUGAGCGUGCUUUCGAUACGGGUUGACUUGAGGAAGGUAGGGGAGAAUGGAAUUCCUGGUGGAGCGGUGGAAUGCGCAGAUAUCAGGAGGAACACCAGUGGCGAAGGCGGUUCUCUGGGCCUUUCCUGACGCUGAGGAGCGAAAGCGUGGGGAGCGAACAGGCUUAGAUACCCUGGUAGUCCACGCUGUAAACGGUGGGUACUAGGUGUGGGGUCCAUUCCACGGGUUCCGUGCCGUAGCUAACGCUUUAAGUACCCCGCCUGGGGAGUACGGCCGCAAGGCUAAAACUCAAAGGAAUUGACGGGGCCCCGCACUAGCGGCGGAGCAUGCGGAUUAAUUCGAUGCAACGCGUAGAACCUUACCUGGGUUUGACAUGGAUCGGGAGUGCUCAGAGAUGGGUGUGCCUCUUUUGGGGUCGGUUCACAGGUGGUGCAUGGCUGUCGUCAGCUCGUGUCGUGAGAUGUUGGGUUAAGUCCCGCAACGAGCGCAACCCUUGUUCACUGUUGCCAGCACGUUAUGGUGGGGACUCAGUGGAGACCGCCGGGGUCAACUCGGAGGAAGGUGGGGAUGACGUCAAGUCAUCAUGCCCCUUAUGUCCAGGGCUUCACGCAUGCUACAAUGGCUGGUACAGAGAGUGGCGAGCCUGUGAGGGUGAGCGAAUCUCGGAAAGCCGGUCUCAGUUCGGAUUGGGGUCUGCAACUCGACCUCAUGAAGUCGGAGUCGCUAGUAAUCGCAGAUCAGCAACGCUGCGGUGGAUACGUUCCCGGGGCU